RNAcentral lists this long non-coding RNA (1117 nucleotides) under Struthio camelus australis. RNAcentral describes it as "lncRNA (ENSSCUG00000010206.1)". Lineage: Eukaryota; Metazoa; Chordata; Aves; Struthioniformes; Struthionidae. The record is from RNAcentral.
UUACUCCGGCGUUACUCGCAUGUUACUCUGGCUUCGUUUCCGGAGUCCUGAGACCCGAGGGGCGUUGUUACUCCGUGCCCUAACUCCAUAGUUGCUCCCUGUUAGUCAGAGGUUACUCACGCUUUACUCCAAGGUUACUCGGACGUUACUCCGGCUUCCUUUCCGGAGUCCUGAGACCCGAGGGGAGUUGUUGCUCCGUAUCCCACCUCCGUAGUUGCUCCUUAUUACUCUUGAUGUUACUCCUUACUCCAACGUUACUCAGAUGUUACUCCGGGUUUCUUUCGAGUCCUGACACCCGGGGGGGUGGUUACUCCAUAUUCCUACUCCAUAAUUGCCCCCGCCCCCCGAUUCUGAUGUUGCUCACUCUUUACUCCAGGGUUACUCAGGCAUUAGUCUGGGCUCCCAUCUGGAGUGCUGAGACCCGGGGGGGGGGGGGUUUGGGCCAUCUCCCCACUCCAUGACUUCCCAUUAUUCUGAUGUCACUCCUUACUCCGAGGUUACUCAGACGUUACUCCGGGUUCCUUUUUGGAGUCCUGAGACCCGAGGGGGUUGUUACUCCGUACCCCUACUUUAUAGCCUCAUUGUCACGCUGAUGUUACUCGCUGUUUACAGAUACUCCCGGGUUGCUCAGAUGUUACUCCAGGCUCCUCUGGUGUCCUGAGAUUGGGGGGGUUGUUACUCCGUAGCCCCACUCUGCAGUUCCCCCCUGUUCCUCUGCUACUGUUUACUCCGGGGUUACUCAGAUGUUACUCCGGGUUCCUCUUGAGUCCUGAGGUUGGACAGGGUGUUACUCUGGAUCCUCGCUCUGUAGAUACUUGUCCCCUUACUCUGAGGUUACUCACUCCGGGGUUACUCGGGCCUUACUCCGGGCUGGUUUGGCCUCCCCAUUGCACCAUGGGUCAAUCCUGGGGUGGUACUCCACAUCCCUACUCCAUAGUUACCCGUGCUUACUCCAAGGUUACGCACUCUUUACUCCAGGGUUACUCCCAUGCUACUCCGAGGUUACUCCCACGAUACUCUGAGGUUACUCUUGGUUUAUUCUAAGGUUACUCGUGCUUGACCCACGAGGUCACUCCACUGUUACUCCCAUGUUGCUCCAAGGUUCCUCGUGGUUCAC